UGGCGGCGUGCCUAACACAUGCAAGUCGAACGAGAAAGUGGAGCAAUCCAUGAGUAAAGUGGCGAUCGGGUGAGUAACACGUGACUAACCUACCUCCGAGUGGGGAAUAACUCCGGGAAACCGGGGCUAAUACCGCAUAACAUCGCAAGAUCAAAGCAGCAAUGCGCUUGGAGAGGGGGUCGCGGCUGAUUAGCUAGUUGGCGGGGUAACGGCCCACCAAGGCGAAGAUCGGUAUCCGGCCUGAGAGGGCGCACGGACACACUGGAACUGAAACACGGUCCAGACUCCUACGGGAGGCAGCAGUGGGGAAUUUUGCGCAAUGGGGGAAACCCUGACGCAGCAACGCCGCGUGGAGGAUGAAGCCCUUUGGGGCGUAAACUCCUUUCGACCAAGACGAUAAUGACGGUACUGGUGGAAGAAGCACCGGCUAACUCUGUGCCAGCAGCCGCGGUAAUACAGAGGGUGCGAGCGUUGUUCGGAAUUAUUGGGCGUAAAGGGCGCGUANGCGGUGCCACAA
This 517-nucleotide ribosomal RNA is filed under the name uncultured bacterium. RNAcentral's name for it is "bacterial SSU rRNA". It matches the Rfam family "Bacterial small subunit ribosomal RNA", at positions 37 to 586 of the family's 1533-position model. The record is from RNAcentral.